RNAcentral lists this ribosomal RNA (301 nucleotides) under uncultured bacterium. RNAcentral describes it as "bacterial SSU rRNA". It matches the Rfam family "Bacterial small subunit ribosomal RNA", at positions 8 to 290 of the family's 1533-position model. The record is from RNAcentral.
AGAGUUUGAUCAUGGCUCAGGAUGAACGCUGGCGGCGUGCUUAACACAUGCAAGUCGAACGGAGAACCCCUGAUGGAGGAUUCGUCCAACUGAAGGGAAUUCUUAGUGGCGGACGGGUGAGUAACGCGUGAGGAACCUACCUUGGAGUGGGGAAUAACAGUCCGAAAGGACUGCUAAUACCGCAUAAUGCAGUUGGGCCGCAUGGCUCUGACUGCCAAAGAUUUAUCGCUCUGAGAUGGCCUCGCGUCUGAUUAGCUAGUAGGCGGGGUAACGGCCCACCUAGGCGACGAUCAGUAGCCGG